GGCAGUGUGGUGUAGUGGUUUAAGCAUUAGAUCAUGGCUCUGGAGAUCAGGGUUCAGUUCUCUGCUCAGCCA
Molecule: non-coding RNA, 72 nt
Organism: Phrynosoma platyrhinos (Desert horned lizard)
Lineage: Eukaryota; Metazoa; Chordata; Lepidosauria; Squamata; Phrynosomatidae
Source: the annotation of a GenBank genome assembly